CGGGGUUUAGCUGUCUCUUGAUUAAUUUAUUGAAAUUACUAUAUAGGUGAAAAAGCCUAUAAGAAAAAAAAGGACGAGAAGACCCUUAGAGUUUUUCUAACACCAAAUUAUUAUUUGGAGCAGUUUAGUUGGGGCAACAUAGGAGCAGAUACAAUUUAAUCUCCUUAAAUAUACAAGCCGAUAUUUAUAAACAUGUAUAAACUACCUUAGGGAUAACAGCAUAAUUUUAUUAAUAAGUUUGUGACCUCGAUGUUGGACUAGGAAACUGAAAGGCUAGCCGCCUUUUAGGGAAGUUCUGUUCGAACUAUUAUUCCU
RNAcentral lists this ribosomal RNA (315 nucleotides) under Idaliadoris neapolitana. RNAcentral describes it as "partial large subunit ribosomal RNA". The record is from RNAcentral. Lineage: Eukaryota; Metazoa; Mollusca; Gastropoda; Nudibranchia; Onchidorididae.